AGUGAACGCUGGCGGUAGGCCUAACACAUGCAAGUCGAACGGCAGCACAGUAAGAGCUUGCUCUUACGGGUGGCGAGUGGCGGACGGGUGAGGAAUACAUCGGAAUCUACUUUUUUGUGGGGGAUAACGUAGGGAAACUUACGCUAAUACCGCAUACGACCUACGGGUGAAAGCAGGGGAUCUUCGGACCUUGCGCGAUUGAAUGAGCCGAUAUCGGAUUAGCUAGUUGGCGGGGUAAAGGCCCACCAAGGCGACGAUCCGUAGCUGGUCUGAGAGGAUGAUCAGCCACACUGGAACUGAGACACGGUCCAGACUCCUACGGGAGGCAGCAGUGGGGAAUAUUGGACAAUGGGCGCAAGCCUGAUCCAGCCAUACCGCGUGGGUGAAGAAGGCCUUCGGGUUGUAAAGCCCUUUUGUUGGGAAAGAAAAGCAGCAGGUUAAUACCCCGCUGUUCUGACGGUACCCAAAGAAUAAGCACCGGCUAACUUCGUG
This 492-nucleotide ribosomal RNA is filed under the name uncultured bacterium. RNAcentral describes it as "partial 16S ribosomal RNA". It matches the Rfam family "Bacterial small subunit ribosomal RNA", at positions 29 to 507 of the family's 1533-position model. The record is from RNAcentral.